UAUUUCCCUACAAAUUUUAACCACAAAUACUCACUUUCCAGCACAAAAGUACUAAAUCGCCCUCAACAUAAAUACAUCAAUGUCCACUCUUUAUCCCCUAAAAAAUUCAUUCUCAGAAUCUGAAAGCAACCUCUCCCAAUUCCUCUCUUCUGUCGAACCAAGGAAAAAUUGGAGGGCAUCUGACCAAGUUAUUCGACGAUUAUCUAAACCUCAACUAGAAGAAGCUUUGACCACCACCUCAAUUGUUGAAACGACGCCCCCAAUAGCGUACAUAGGGAACAAACAAAAGGAAAAGAAAAGAAGCAGCGACAUCAGCAACCGGCGACUCCUAUUGCUACCAGGUCCCUCUUUUCUAGUUCCUCAAAUUGCUUUUGCAGUUGCAGAUUUUUAUGUACCUAGCAACGAAGAGGAAGCGUACUAUACUCCAAACGUGCAUCCUCAUCGAGAAAGCAAUUUCCAAGCCUCCACGGUGUAAGUUACACAAGUGCAAUCUGAAACUCCGCAACAAUCAAGUUGGACUCAAAUGCAUACAAGCCAGGUUCAUUUGGUGCAUGGUAAGAGUGUGGAAGAUAUUGAUUAUGGUGGAGGUCUUUCUUGUAUAAAUUGGGAAGCAAAUUUUAAGGUUGGAUGAGUUUUUCCAAAUAAGCUUGCCCUUAUAAAAACCUUAUGUUUAGCAGCAGUCAUAGGCCACUUUCGAUUUAGAACAAUCCAAUCUGGGAAACGUAGGUUGUGUGUUCAUUGUUAGCAACUUCCUUGCCCUUAGCGACUUCGGGCAUAUAAAGUUGGAUUACAGGAGUUUAGGGUUGUUAAAUACGAUCCAUAUUAUGAAUGUGAUCUAAGGUAUCUUAGUAGUCACCAUCCUCAAGCUAGUACUGGAUUGUUGUCUGACUCUGUGAAAUGCAGAUUCAAGGAUUCUCGCACCAUUUAUACUGCAGGUGAUAUCAUCAAAGAUGUGCGAAAAAUUUUUGGUGUGACCAUAAGCUACUCUAAAGCAUGGAGAAGCCAAGAGUUAGCUUUAAAGAUAAUUAGAGGGUCUGCAGAAGAGUCAUAAGCUCUUCUCCCUUCCUAUUGUUAUGAAUUGGAGCGUACAAAUCCUGAAAAUUUGACAUACAUUGAGACUGAUGCAGCCAACCACUUUUUAUAUUUUUUUUAUGUCAAUUGGUGCAUGCAUAAGAGGAUUUAAGUCCUCAAUGCGUCCUAUGAUUGAUGUUGAUGCUACCCAUUUGAAGUGCAAGUACAAAGGUGUCUUGUUUGUUGCCGCUGCAUUUGACGGAAAUCGUAAUAUAUAUCCUCUUGCCUUUGGGACUGGAGAUUUGGAGACGGAUGCAGCUUUGGAAUGGUUUUUUACAAUACUACAUUGUGCAAUUGGUGAUUGCUUGAAUCUUGUUGUCAUAUCUGAUUGAAAUCUUAGCAUAGAAAAUGGGUUGAAAAGAGUUUUUCCUCAGGCAGCACAUAGUAUUUGCUUUUAUCACUUGAAGGCAAUAUGAAAGCCUCAUUUAAGUUGAAGAAGCGGGAUCUGAUAUUGGGAUUUUUUGUGCGGGCAGCCAAGUCUUGCCGUCUAGCAGAGUUCAAUCAUUAUUUCUCCAUGAUAAACAACGAGCGAGUGCAAACUUAUCUAGAAUGUGCAGGGCUCCAUAAGUGGUCUCAAGCCCAUUGUGACGGACGACGAUAUAAUGUCAUGACAACUAAUAUUGCAGAGUCCAUUAAUUCAGUUCUUCGUUUUGCAAGGAUGCUUCCGGUGGUACACUUGAUCGAGGAAAUUAGGAAUAUGCUUCAGAAUUGGUUUAGUCAACGUCGAGAUUUGUCAAUGAAAUGUAAAUCUAUGUUGUGCCAUGAUUUAGGCGAAAAGAAGUUGAGGAAGAGAUUAGACGCUGCUUCAAGGAUGAAUGUGGUUAAAAUCAAUGAUGUGGAGUAUAAUGUGCUUGAUGGUGAUAUGAACGGUCUUGUGCACUUGCAAAACCAUAAUUGUACGUGUAGGAAGUUUGACUUAGAGCAACUCCUGUGCAAGCAUGCUAUUGCGGUAUGUCGGCACUUGAAAUUGAACCCAUACUCAUUUGCCUCUUCGUAUUACACUCGAACUACAUGGGCAGCUGCAUAUGCUUAAUCCAUUUAUCCUGUACAACCUCAAGGGACAUGAGUUAUUCCCGAAAAUGUCCAAAAUGUAAAUCUCCUCUCUCCUAUUUCAAAGGUUAUGCCUAGCCAUCGUAAGACACAAAGAAUACCUUCUAAAGGAGAGGACUCACAAGAAAGAAAAUGCUCACGGUGCGGUGUGAAGGGCCACUAUCGAAGGACAUGCAAAGAAGUUAUCCCCGUCACUAACAAGAAGCAGAUCAUUUAGAUGUUACAAUUGUUUAAUUUGUAUGUCUCAUUCCAUUAAGUGGGGAUAUUUGUUACCUAACUUUAUGUACAAUUUGUGUUCCUAACAUGUCACUGUUUUUGUUUUUGGAAAUAAGUAUCCUUAUAGGUACCGAAUUGUAUAGAUCA
This is an RNA transcript of Prunus persica (peach), 2484 nucleotides long. RefSeq lists it as uncharacterized. NCBI's taxonomy places the organism in Eukaryota, Viridiplantae, Streptophyta, Magnoliopsida, Rosales, Rosaceae. The transcript is spliced from 2 exons. The record is from RefSeq and is a predicted model, not a curated record.